GAUGAACGCUGGCGGCGUGCUUAACACAUGCAAGUCGAACGAAGCACUCUAUUUGAUUUUCUUCGGAAAUGAAGAUUUUGUGACUGAGUGGCGGACGGGUGAGUAACGCGUGGGUAACCUGCCUCAUACAGGGGGGAUAACAGUUGGAAACGACUGCUAAUACCGCAUAAGCGCACAGGAUCGCAUGAUCCGGUGCGAAAAACUCCGGUGGUAUGAGAUGGACCCGCGUCUGAUUAGCCAGUUGGCAGGGUAACGGCCUACCAAAGCGACGAUCAGUAGCCGACCUGAGAGGGUGACCGGCCACAUUGGGACUGAGACACGGCCCAAACUCCUACGGGAGGCAGCAGUGGGGAAUAUUGCACAAUGGGGGAAACCCUGAUGCAGCGACGCCGCGUGAGCGAAGAAGUAUUUCGGUAUGUAAAGCUCUAUCAGCAGGGAAGAAGAAUGACGGUACCUGA
Molecule: ribosomal RNA, 458 nt
Filed under: uncultured bacterium
Lineage: Bacteria
Description: bacterial SSU rRNA
Rfam family: Bacterial small subunit ribosomal RNA
Source: RNAcentral